Long non-coding RNA from Gavialis gangeticus (Gharial), 2517 nucleotides. RefSeq lists it as uncharacterized. The transcript is spliced from 2 exons. NCBI's taxonomy places the organism in Eukaryota, Metazoa, Chordata, Crocodylia, Gavialidae. The record is from RefSeq and is a predicted model, not a curated record.
GCCCUUACUGUGCACCAGGAGUUCUGUAGUAAGUUUCUGGUGGUGGGUGGCAGCGCUCUGUCCCCACCUGUCCACAUGUACCCCCUAGGAGCAUCCUGCAUACUCCCGGUUGGCAACCCCUGCCCUAGGGUAGACAACUCAGAUAAACUGCUGCAAACAGUUAACCCUCUUGGCUCAAGUCCUGCAAGAAUUAGUGCUGAUGGGUCACCCAUAUCAUACAGAAUCAUCACAUGUCUCUAGCCAAAGGAAAACACUUUGAGAAGGUAUUUGUGAUCAUACUACAAGAAGCUGUAAUUUCAAGACUACACUCAAGACAACUUUCACAAUAAUUCAAAGGUCUGGAAGCUCUGGCACAAUACAAGUCCAACAUGGGAAUUUUAAGGGUUAUUUUGUGAGUAAUUUUGAGUUUGAUUAGGUACUACAAGCAUCAUUUCAUACUACCUUAGUAUAUGGGUCUGGGAAUCAAUUCCUGUAAGUCUGAUUAUGUUGAUCUUGUAGGAAGAGAUUUAAGACUUCUCAUUAAAAAGGUGUGUCAAAAACAUGAUGCAAAUGUUCUUUCCCAGAGCAUGGAGGCAUCUCAAUAGAAAAGUACAGGGAGGGAUUUUCUUCAGGUAGAUUUUUUUUACUUCUGAAAAACAAUUCAAGUUCUAGUCCAAGAAUCACACUAGUUUCUACGUAUUCACAAGAACAUUCCAGCCCUAAAAUGACCCUUUGUAAGUCAAAGUAUAAGCAUCUACUGAAGCAGCAUUUCAGCAGAAGACAAAACAUAAAGCACUGAUUUUAAGUGGUCAGUGUUUUAAAUAUUUUCAGUCAUAGUAAGUGUUUAUUCACAAUUUUCAAAACCAUUUGCAGUUUUCACAAUUAACCCUAGAAACAAGAGACUCCUCUUUUUGGCAUUGUAGGAAGUAAUACUCUUAAGACAUAUAAUAGCUUGGUGACUAGAAAUUUGGCAACAAGCCACAUACCACAGCACCAAAAGACAAAGACAUUUACUUCCUAAGCUAAAGAAAGACCUGUUAAUAUCAAGAAUCUCUCUCAUGUUUUUUUUCCUCCAACCCACAACUAAAAUCUUGUAUGCCAUGCUUGAUUCUUCUCUACUAAUGGGAAUGAUAAGAACCUUAAAUUGACAUUAAAGGAAGCAGGUUUGGUUAGAAAACAAUCCCCAUAAAAAUGGAUUUAAUUACAACUUAUUCAAAAUCUGCAUACUGUAUUUUGAAAUUGGAGAGACUUAACCUACUGAAAUAGAAAAGGAUAUUAUGCAGCCAAUUAUAAGCUAAGGGACAACAAAACAAACAAAUCCAUUUUAAGUGACCUGUAAUUGCAUCUGAAGGCAAAGGUUGAAGACAAGUUGGGACAUAAAGCCCACAUGACAGUUUCCAGAACUGACAUGACAACUUAUAAUGGGGUUAAAAUAAAGAUUUAUUAUGAAAGAUGACUGCAAUCUUAACUCUCACCUUGUAAUACUGGAAUCAAUUGCAACUUAAAUGUACAGGAGCAUAAUGUGAAAAGAUUUUUUUUAUUCGUUAAAAGUUAACAGCAACAGGCACAUAUAAAAUGAGUAUGGCAAAGCCUUUACAAAUGGCUUUACACUGAAGCUCUCCCAAAAAUGGCUGUUGCAACAAACUGUAAACAGAAUUAAUAAACAGUCUUUUACAGUAAUAACAAGGGAAAUACAAAUGAACUAAAAGAAAGCACCAGUUUCUCUCAAACUAGAUAACAGUUGUGCUUACUUUACUUAAAACAAUGUAAAACAAAUUACAAAAAUGGAAUGUUUGAAGUUUAAAAUUAGUCCUUAAAUUUUGUCCUAAAAAACAUUUCUCCUUUUCACAUCAAAAACCCAUAAAUGGUUAAUGUUUCAGUAGAGGGAGGAAUAAGUAAACAAUGCACUUUUUUUUUGUCUUUUUUUUUUCAAUCAAAAACGAAUUUGGUCACUUAGCUUUGUGCAUAGUUUAAGGCAUCUGUAGCAAUUUGUUACAGGUUCCUCCCAAUGUGGCUGUUCAUGAAAUUGUCACAUUCUAAAAGAAUAAAUAAAAAUGUUGCCGUUCAAACCCUUGCCCAUCCCUUCCCUCCCCUCCCUUCCCCCACGCGCACACACACACCCACACAUACACACAUACUGCAGCGAAAGGGGCAUUUGUACCCUUGUUCUGAAGGACACACUUCCCAUCCCAUUUUAUUUCAGAUUGGCAAAUACCCUGAGCUGAUUAUGGUGUUUAGACAUUCCACCUUUUUCUUGCAUGUGCAGUUCAAGUGUACAAUAGUGAAAACAACAUGCAAUGUUUUCACUGCAGAAUCGCAACACAGUUAGGACUGUUCUCCCCCCACCCCCCUCCCCAGAUUCAGAAGUGUUUUCUGCUUUUAAAAAACUGCAUUCCCAUACAGCACUGGAGUAAAGCUUGGCUGUGCUCUAUGAUGAAUGCUCCAUUCCCAGUGCACAAACACAAUUAUGGCAAAUGGGAGGCUUUUCUGGCAUCCAAAGAAAGAGCUGCAGUCCCAGAUUUGAUCUCUUUUAAAAAC